GGGUGGUUAUAUAGUCGGCGGAGCACACUAGUGGGCUUCAACGUCAGCGUACGGUGGCGAGCUAAAUCGUGAGUCCUGCUAGGCUUUUUUUGAUUCAGGUUUUGUUACUGUUUUCCAUUCGGGGUUAUAUGGCGAGCAAACCUAACAUUUGCAGUUGUUUGUUUCAGAAAUUCAUGUCCUGACAUCAAAUUUCGAUACGUAAGGUAAAUCCUGCCAACAAAGCUAUGUUAUGGGCUUACUAGUUCUCUUCAUAUCUCUAUCUUCCUUUUGUGAAGUUGUGUAGCGAUCUUCCUUUUACUAUAUGCAAUUCGAUUUUCUUAGGAAUACUCUCCAUUUUCUUAGGAACACGACGUCGUUGCGAUGCCUCCAGAUGCACCAGCAACAGAACAUGAAGAAUGUCAAUGGCAAGGUGAGCGACAUCUAGCAGAUUGCGGACAGAGGCCACGGAAGGUGACCGGAACCCCAACAUGGCCCUGAAAUCAACCACCAAUGGGCAGGCAGAGACGAGGUGUCUCGCUGACUGCAGCGAGGCAUGGCGGAAUGGGCUACUAUUACACGCUCUAAAAGUGAGGUUUAUAGCAAUUAAAAAGGUGAUUUUAUUCCUGAAUCGUGCUUAACAUUUCUUUAGCAAACAAGCACUAGCAGCCCGUUUUCAGAUGUGCUUCUUGUUGGUUCAUGUAGACAUGCCAAUGAAGCCCUGAUAAAGAGUAGAAAAAAUACAGUUUAUUUGUUUAAUUGUUCUCUUGUGUAGACCAAAAUUAGCGAGUAAAGGUAAUUUGAGUUUGCUUCCAAAUUCUUUCUGCGAGUUUAUCCCAGGAAUAAUGUUUUGUUCCUAUUUGAGUUGCAACAUGUGACUUCUGGAGGCUACUCUUCCAUUUGAUGUUGCUGUUCAACAGCUCUCAAAGGCACAGAGCAAAUCAGUCGGGCUUCUCGAAGAAAACAUAUUUUUGAUAAAUGAUGUGCCAUGCAUCCUUCCGCACACCUAAUCGCCUGCUUAGAACAAAUAAAAUUAGUUGCAUUUGCCUGUAUUGGUGGAGUGUGUAUAGAUGGCAGAAUAGCUCCAGCCUUGCUUUCUACUAACCAGUUUCAUUUUCUUUCAGAAUCAAGUUCCUGCUUUUUUCUCCCUGAUGUGAGUGUAUUGGAGUAUAGGGUUCUCCCUGGAGGGUCUUGUAAUCAGUGAGCUAUCUGAGGCAAUGUAUAGAGUUCCAGUUCUGUUUUUCUUGAGAGCCGACCCUGUAAGCUCUGUUUUCUUAGAGUUGAUAUGUAAAUUCUUCAAUGUUUAAAUAAAGUUCAGCCUCAGGCCCUUAAAGAUAACACUACUCCCCAAAUUAAA
This 1333-nucleotide long non-coding RNA is filed under the name Triticum aestivum (bread wheat). RNAcentral describes it as "long non-coding RNA (TAES_LNC007180)". The record is from RNAcentral. Lineage: Eukaryota; Viridiplantae; Streptophyta; Magnoliopsida; Poales; Poaceae.